RNAcentral lists this ribosomal RNA (433 nucleotides) under uncultured bacterium. RNAcentral describes it as "partial 16S ribosomal RNA". It matches the Rfam family "Bacterial small subunit ribosomal RNA", at positions 29 to 507 of the family's 1533-position model. The record is from RNAcentral.
AACGAACGCUGGCGGCAUGCCUAACACAUGCAAGUCGAACGAGAUCUUCGGAUCUAGUGGCGCACGGCUGCGUAACGCGUGGGAAUCUGCCCCUUGCUUCGGAAUAACAGUGAGAAAUUACUGCUAAUACCGGAUGAUGUCUUCGGACCAAAGAUUUAUCGGCAAGGGAUGAGCCCGCGUAGGAUUAGGUAGUUGGUGGGGUAAUGGCCUACCAAGCCGACGAUCCUUAGCUGGUCUGAGAGGAUGAUCAGCCACACUGGGACUGAGACACGGCCCAGACUCCUACGGGAGGCAGCAGUGGGGAAUAUUGGACAAUGGGCGAAAGCCUGAUCCAGCAAUGCCGCGUGAGUGAUGAAGGCCUUAGGGUUGUAAAGCUCUUUUACCAGGGAUGAUAAUGACAGUACCUGGAGAAUAAGCUCCGGCUAACUCCGUG